This is a long non-coding RNA of Myotis davidii, 129 nucleotides long. RefSeq lists it as uncharacterized. Lineage: Eukaryota; Metazoa; Chordata; Mammalia; Chiroptera; Vespertilionidae. The transcript is spliced from 3 exons. The record is from RefSeq and is a predicted model, not a curated record.
CUCAGUGGAUAGAGUGUCAGCCCACGGACUGAAGGAUCCCGGGUUCGAUUCCAGUCAAGGGCACGUACCUCGGACGCAGGCUCCAUCCCGAGCCCUGGUCAUGGCCGGGUGGGAGGCAGCCGAUCAAUG